RNAcentral lists this ribosomal RNA (600 nucleotides) under uncultured bacterium. RNAcentral's name for it is "bacterial SSU rRNA". It matches the Rfam family "Bacterial small subunit ribosomal RNA", at positions 1 to 655 of the family's 1533-position model. The record is from RNAcentral.
UAGAGUUUGAUCCUGGCUCAGAACGAACGCUGGCGGCAGGCUUAACACAUGCAAGUCGAGCGCCCCGCAAGGGGAGCGGCAGACGGGUGAGUAACGCGUGGGAACGUACCCUUUGCUACGGAAUAGCUCCGGGAAACUGGAAUUAAUACCGUAUGUGCCCUACGGGGGAAAGAUUUAUCGGCAAAGGAUCGGCCCGCGUUGGAUUAGCUAGUUGGUGGGGUAAUGGCCUACCAAGGCGACGAUCCAUAGCUGGUCUGAGAGGAUGAUCAGCCACAUUGGGACUGAGACACGGCCCAAACUCCUACGGGAGGCAGCAGUGGGGAAUAUUGGACAAUGGGCGCAAGCCUGAUCCAGCCAUGCCGCGUGAGUGAUGAAGGCCUUAGGGUUGUAAAGCUCUUUCACCGGAGAAGAUAAUGACGGUAUCCGGAGAAGAAGCCCCGGCUAACUUCGUGCCAGCAGCCGCGGUAAUACGAAGGGGGCUAGCGUUGUUCGGAAUUACUGGGCGUAAAGCGCACGUAGGCGGGCAUUUAAGUCAGGGGUGAAAUCCCAGAGCUCAACUCUGGAACUGCCUUUGAUACUGGGUGUCUUGAGUAUGGAAGA